This is a long non-coding RNA of Salvelinus sp. IW2-2015, 732 nucleotides long. RefSeq lists it as uncharacterized. The record is from RefSeq and is a predicted model, not a curated record. The transcript is spliced from 4 exons. Lineage: Eukaryota; Metazoa; Chordata; Actinopteri; Salmoniformes; Salmonidae.
UGGACCUGAUCACAUGAUUGUGCCUUCUCUGGAAAAAACAAAUGUCAUGCAUGUAGCUCUCUCACGCACUCACUCACUCCCUCAAGCCAGCCAUAGAGGAAGAUUACCAGCCAUAAUUGUGCUAAAAAACUUGGAUGCUAUUGAUACUUAUGAUGUCAGGCCCAAGAAGAGAAAAUUAGAUCUAGAUGUCGAAUGGCAGGGCCGCUCAUGAAAGACAAAGGCAGAAGGCAAAAUAAUAGAUAUUGGAUGCUUUUCCGAGAUGGCCUCAAGGAAGAGAAACACUGUUGCCUCAUCCAGUGUUGGACAUCCAUAAAAGUAAUCUUCGGGCGAAAGACAAGAAUUACUGAUAGAAGAACAAGGAAUAGCAGAGCUGGGUUCAGACAUGCCAGAUGAUCAAACAUGCAAGAGGCUCUUGGCGUCAGAAUGGGCAAGAUGAGUAUUGCUGAUGAGGAUGAUGGCAGUUUGAAUGAGGAUGAGAUCAAUGACAUUCACAACAGCAUGAGAUGGACAUCGGCAGUCAUGACCCUCCAGUCCCACAUCCACCACACCUUGACCUUCCUGCGGCCUUGGCAAAAUCCCCUUACCGCACUGGAGUUGCAAUAAUCAAGCAAGAAACAUAUUGCUAUUCACACAGACAAUGUUCUUUUUCUGGAACUUUAUUUUUCAAAAAACAACCAGUGGACUUCUGAACUUUACAAAUAACUAAUAAAUUCACACAUGAACAAAUGUCAA